Molecule: transfer RNA, 72 nt
Filed under: Camelus bactrianus (Bactrian camel)
Lineage: Eukaryota; Metazoa; Chordata; Mammalia; Artiodactyla; Camelidae
Also listed under: 3 other names
Rfam family: tRNA
About the family: Transfer RNA (tRNA) molecules are approximately 80 nucleotides in length. Their secondary structure includes four short double-helical elements and three loops (D, anti-codon, and T loops). Further hydrogen bonds mediate the characteristic L-shaped molecular structure. tRNAs have two regions of fundamental functional importance: the anti-codon, which is responsible for specific mRNA codon recognition, and the 3' end, to which the tRNAs corresponding amino acid is attached (by aminoacyl-tRNA synthetases). tRNAs cope with the degeneracy of the genetic code in two manners: having more than one tRNA (with a specific anti-codon) for a particular amino acid; and 'wobble' base-pairing, i.e. permitting non-standard base-pairing at the 3rd anti-codon position.
Source: Rfam by way of RNAcentral
GAGGGUAUAGCUCAGUGGUAGAGCACAUGCUUAGCAUGCACGAAGUCCUGGGUUCAGUCCCCAGUACCUCUA